This 70-nucleotide transfer RNA is filed under the name Ictidomys tridecemlineatus (thirteen-lined ground squirrel). Its description in RNAcentral is "Spermophilus tridecemlineatus (thirteen-lined ground squirrel) tRNA". It matches the Rfam family "tRNA". From Rfam's summary of the family: Transfer RNA (tRNA) molecules are approximately 80 nucleotides in length. Their secondary structure includes four short double-helical elements and three loops (D, anti-codon, and T loops). The record is from Rfam by way of RNAcentral. Lineage: Eukaryota; Metazoa; Chordata; Mammalia; Rodentia; Sciuridae.
GGGGUUGUGGCUCAGUGGUAGAGUGCUUGCCUUGCAUGCAUGGGCACUGAGUUCAUUCCUCAGAACCACA